Molecule: ribosomal RNA, 429 nt
Filed under: Gemmatimonadota bacterium
Lineage: Bacteria; Pseudomonadati; Gemmatimonadota
Description: Gemmatimonadetes bacterium partial 16S ribosomal RNA
Rfam family: Bacterial small subunit ribosomal RNA
Source: RNAcentral
UAGGGAAUCUUCGGCAAUGGACGAAAGUCUGACCGAGCAACGCCGCGUGAGUGAAGAAGGUUUUCGGAUCGUAAAACUCUGUUGUUAGAGAAGAACAAGGACGUUAGUAACUCAACGUCCCCUGACGGUAUCUAACCAGAAAGCCACGGCUAACUACAUGCCAGCAGCCGCGGUAAUACGUAGGUGGCAAGCGUUGUCCGGAUUUAUUGGGCGUAAAGCGAGCGCAGGCGGUUUCUUAAGUCUGAUGUGAAAGCCCCCGGCUCAACCGGGGAGGGUCAUUGGAAACUGGGAGACUUGAGUGCAGAAGAGGAGAGUGGAAUUCCAUGUGUAGCGGUGAAAUGCGUAGAUAUAUGGAGGAACACCAGUGGCGAAGGCGGCUCUCUGGUCUGUAACUGACGCUGAGGCUCGAAAGCGUGGGGAGCAAACAGG